GGAGAGGUGGCUCAGAGGUUAAGAGCACUGGCUGCUCUUCCAGAGGUCCUGAGUUCAAUUCCCAGCAACUACA
Molecule: transfer RNA, 73 nt
Filed under: Rattus norvegicus (Norway rat)
Lineage: Eukaryota; Metazoa; Chordata; Mammalia; Rodentia; Muridae
Also listed under: 1 other name
Rfam family: tRNA
About the family: Transfer RNA (tRNA) molecules are approximately 80 nucleotides in length. Their secondary structure includes four short double-helical elements and three loops (D, anti-codon, and T loops).
Source: Rfam by way of RNAcentral